Molecule: long non-coding RNA, 498 nt
Organism: Myotis brandtii (Brandt's bat)
Lineage: Eukaryota; Metazoa; Chordata; Mammalia; Chiroptera; Vespertilionidae
Exons: 3
Source: RefSeq, a predicted model, not a curated record
AGUGUGUGCAUUCACAUCAAAGGCCAACAUGAAGACAGGCACAGUCUUUGUCCUAGUGGCUUUUGUCAUCUUGGGGAUGGAGAUGGCCUUCGCUCAGAGAGGUCCUCAUGGAGGGGGAGACAAACCUGGACUCUGCCCCAGGGUGCCCAAAGGAACCGUUGGGCCUUGUGUUGAAAGAUGUGGAGGAGAUGACACAUGUCCUGGGGAAAUGAAAUGCUGCAGCAAUGGAUGUGGCCAUGUAUGCAAACCUCCUAUCUUUGUGGAUGGUAUUGAUGACCCUGUGGAGGAAGAAUGGGGGGUGUAAGCGUGCCUGGAGACCAGCCCCAGAAGAUUGCUCAUGAAUGCAUGGAUCCAGUGCUUGGCAUAACAUUUUCCACACACCAUUCCUGGCAAGUGUCUAUCCCUUGACGUGCAGUCCCAGAAGAUGAAGAUCUAAAGUGGUGGAGAGGCCGAUUCUAAAGAGCUUGUGUCCAAAAUAAAUCUUAUCUGUGGCAUUAU